RNAcentral lists this long non-coding RNA (10316 nucleotides) under Homo sapiens (human). RNAcentral's name for it is "non-protein coding lnc-TMTC3-18:1". The record is from RNAcentral. Lineage: Eukaryota; Metazoa; Chordata; Mammalia; Primates; Hominidae.
GUUCUACCCUAUAGCUAUGUUUGUGCCACUACCACCUCCUGCCUCAAAGAAACUCUUGCCAGGGUGAUUUACCAAGGAUAAAGAUGUCUAAUUUAAGUUGGACCAACCCAAUUCUCUUUCUUGGAAAUUUGAAACUAGAAGAGAGCCACAUGGAGAAUGAAGGUCUUAUUUCAACUGUUGUUCAGGAAUGAUCCAAACAAAUUCAGAAGCAGAUUUAAAUGUUAUAGGUAAGCUUAUUUUUUUAAAUCAAACUUAAAAAAAUUGAAAUGUCCUCAUGGGUUUUACACCCAAAUACAUAAUAAACAUAUGUUUUUAAAAUAUUAGAUAAUGACAAAAAUAAACAAUUUUAAAAUACUAUUGUUAAUCCUAUCAUACAAAAAUGACCAGUAUUAACACUCUGAUGUAUAUUUCUGAAAUUUUUAAUAGACAUACACACACAUAAAGACAUAUACAUUCUUGCUCUCUCCUUUUAAUUUAAAUAAUUAAAAGUCUUUAAUACUGUAAAACUACUUUACAACUGCUUUAAUCAUAGAACUUCUAAACAUAUACAUAUACAUAAACAUAUUUAGAUUUCAAAAAGCAUAGAUUUACAGCAUCAUUUUAAUGGCGCAUCAUACUCCAUUUAAUGUUAUAAUGUAUUUGCUCAUUUCCGCUUACAUUUAGUUUACCUUCAGUUUUUGGUUCUUAGGAGCUCUCAGGUACUCCCUAGCUCCUUGCAAGACUUGAUCUUGGUUACAAAUUUUUCGUCUAUUUAUGCCUUUAAAAUACUUAAUAGAAACUCAUUUUGCUCAUGAGUAUUUGAUUAAGCAUGCAUACAAUUAGAAAUAAUUACACAUCAGUAUUAUGUCAUGAAGUAACAUUGGUUUUGUACUUUUCUUUUUCUUGUCCUUUUGUAGCAAACACUGGUAAUCUGGAUUUUUCAGUUUUCUCUGGUACUUCCCACUGGUUUCAAACUGCUCUCCUUCCAAAUUUAGUAAUGUUUAUUCCAGAAUGAAUGUAUUAAAUCUGAACUGUUUAAUAAGAGUAGCCAACCCCCAAAGUUAGAAUAAAGGGAAAGGCAAAACAUGCCACCCAUUAAGAAGCCAAGGCAUUACCAAGGUAAUUCUAUCAUCUAUCUCUUUCUCACACAAUGUGAGAUUUGGCAUUCUUGUCUACUCCUUUCCCGGGCUGCAGGCAGGAGAAGAAAAGAAGAUAGAUAUUCUCCUCACAACCCCCCAUACUCAUGCAAACACACACAAAGGCAAAAGUAUUGAUAAUUUAUCACAGAACCACAUCUACUCCUUGUUCUUACUGCCUUGUUACUUUCAUUAUGGUCUUCUCAAUUUAGGAAAACAGAUCUCAUAAACUCUCUUUGGUAAAGCAGAUAAUAAUAAUUUAUUUAAUUUUUACAUAGUGCCAAAAUUGAUCUAAGUCUUAUGCAUGUGCUAACUGAUUUAACAAUUAUAUUGACUCCAUGAGGAAGUUACUAUAAUUAUUUGCAGUUUAUAGAGGAGGAAAUUGAGGCACAGAGAAAAUUAGCAACUAAGGUCAUAGGGCUAGUGAAUGGCAGAACAGUAUUUAAAUCUUGAAAAUCUGAUUUAGAGUUUGCCCUCCCAACCAAUUUGUUAUGCCUUUGUCUAAUUUUAUCGAGUCAAUUAAAUGAAAUGAAUGCUUGGCAGCCCUUGUGUCUAAAUUUGUGACAGAAUUUAUCUACUUACCUUGUAUUAGGAUUGUUAGACUCAGACAACAUAAGGGAAAUCUAUUGUCAUUAGCCCACAUAGACACUAUUCCAAGUCCAUAACCUCAAAUUAAAUUGUCAAUGCUGCCAUGCAUGGCAGGAGCCAAGAGAAUCUUUCUAGACCUUGAUCUUUAUCUUUUAUAAUAAAAGUCUUAGCUGGUGGUCCUGCUGCUGCCAAUUCCAUUUCACACUGUGGUAGAUCCUCCACAGCUGCUAUUUUGAUCUCACUGAUGUAAAUGUUGUCAUUACCUCCACCAUAUCUUGGAACAGAUUCCAUGCUCCAGGCACCAGGUGGGCACAAUGAAUCUAGAAUCUGACUUCCACACUUCCUGAGGCAAAGUUUUCUUUUUCUUUGGAGCUGGGGUUCUAUGUUGGGGCCAAUUCUCUGCCCUCGAGUGCUCAUGACACUCUUCCCUUGGAGAGAAUUUCACCUUCAGCCACGAAAAACUUCAUCUUCAUUUCUCUUAGUUUUAGUCCCUGAGAGUUAACUUCAUUUCCUCUCUCAAAUCCCACCAUUAGCCUUUUCUAUUUUACUUUGAUAUUUGCAUUUACUAAUCAUCUAUCAUUAUAAUAACACUACAUAACAAACUCAAAUCUUAGUGGCUCAUAAUCACAUAUACAGUUGGCCCUCUGUAUCUGUGGGUUCUGCAUCCAAAGAUUAAACCACAAAUCAAAAAUAUAGUGUUCACAGGAUGCAGAACCUAUGAAUUUUGAAGGUUGACAGAGGGCUGACUUUUAUGUGUUGGUUCUACAGGGACAACUGUGGGACUUGAGCAUCUGUGGCUUUUGGUAUCCAUAGAGGGUCCUGGAACAAAUCCCUCAUGGAUAUCAAGGGAGAAAUAUUCAAAUAUAUAUAUAUGUCACACUCAUGGGUUUGUGGGUGAGGCGAACCUUGUCUCAGUUUAUUUGGGCUUGGCUGGAUGCUAUAGUUUGAUUUCAAGUAUACACUACAUGUCUUAUAUUUGGACCGUGGUCUUCUUGGGGGUAUUCUGUUGUUAUGACAAUAGCAGGAUUGCAAGUAUAGAAGCUGGUGGUAGUUAAUUUUAUCUGUCAACUAAACUAGACUAAGGGAUGCCCAUAUAACUGGUAAAAUAUUACUUUUUGGUAUACCUGUGAGAGUGUUUCUGGAAGAGAUUAGUAUUUGGACCAAUAGAAUGGGUAAAGAAGAUCCACCCUAGCCAAUGUGGGUGAGCAGCAGCCAAUCAACUGAAAACCCUAAUAGAAAAAAAAAAAAAGGAGGAGGAAGGGCAAGUGUGCUCACUGUUUUUUUGAGCUGGGGUAUUUGCCUUUUCUAGUAUUUGGACAUCUGAGAGCUCCUGGUUCUCAGGCAAUCAAACUGUAGAACAUACACAGGUACCUCUCUCUUCCCCCUCCCAUUUCUCAGGUCUUGGCCUCAGACUGGGGGUUACACCACCAGCUUUCCUGGUUCUCCAGCUUGCAGACAGCAGACGGCAAGACUUCUUGGCCUUUAGAAUUAUGUGAGGCAAUUCCCAUGAGAAAUAUACUUUUUAUAUCUAUAUAAAUCCUAUUGAUUCUACUUCUCUAGAUAACCCUGACCAACGCAAAGCCAAACCACACAGGCUCAUUUAAAAUUUCUGCUCACAUUAUGUCCACUGGCCAAAGCAAGUUGCUUGCUUGACUCAGCUGUAUAUCAAUAAAGCUAGAAAAUAUAUUCUACUUGCUCUAAUGGAGGUACUCCCAUACCAUGUGGCAAAGGUUAUGGAUGGUUCUACCACAGGGAAGAAAUAAAGAAUUGGGAAAAAUAAUUCUAUGUAUUACUAAAAUAAAUGGAAUUAAUGUGUUCUAAAGUCCCAAAAUUACCAGGUAAGUAUAAAAGAUGGUAUUUUUGUACUAGGUGAGUCCAAGAUAGUUGUAGUAACAUCUAGAAUAGUCAAGAAAAGAAUAGUAAAAUUAUGUGUAUGGCAUUAAAGGUUGAAACAAAGCUCCUCUAAAAAUCUAUGAAUCUUUAAAUCUUAAAACCUUUAACUUUAAACCCUAAACUCUAUGUAUAAAUUUGAGGUAAGACAGAGCAUACAGUCAAGACAGAGGUGAUCUGGAAUCUGGGUGACUGCAAAGAUAGAUUCAUUAAGUUAAAUCUCAUACGAUAUCUGUAUUAUGCAACUCCACUUUAGGCCUCCAGGUUUGAGCAUUAUUACCUGAAAUCUUCUUGUUGGCAGAACAUUUUUUUUUUCACCUUUUAAAGGAGAGAAUCCUCUUUCAAAAGAAAACUAAACAUAAUUUUUUAUGAUGUAAGAAGAUCCGUGUGCUUAGACAAGCUUGAGCAUGAAUAUUUUGCCCUAGUAAUUCAAGCAAUUCCUUUUGUGCCAUUCAGAAAAAGGUCACACAUAGCUAACAAGAUAAGCCUGCGCAUAUCAAACAGUGAAUAUUUGUGCUCUGCUACAUUUAUGUUGGCACUUCUCUCGGCCUUAAGAGUCAAAGGGCAAAGGAAUAAAAUAGCUGCCUGUGUGUUCUGCUAUUCAUUACAGAUUUUCCAUCUGUAUUUAAUAUUCAUUGGAGCCAGGUCAGCAAAGAGGUCAAAGAUCAGCAAGAACACAUCAUAUUAGCUACGACUCAGGGUGCUGAUUAAGAAUCAAGAGUAACAAAAUUUUGGCUACAUUCAAUCAGAAGUCAUAAUCAGAAUGUAUUUUUAAAAAUACAUUUUAUUGUGUAUAUUUGAGGUUUACAAUUAUUAUGGGAUACAUAUUGGUAGUAAAAUGGCUACUACUAUAGCGAAGCAGAUCAACAUAUCUAUAAUCUCACAUAGUGAAGUUUUUUUAAUAAAGAAAUAAAGCAGCUAAAACCUAAUUAUUUAACAAAAAUCCUUAAUACAAGUUUAGUAUCUUCAGUUCUUAUGUUGUACAUUAGAUUUCUAAUCAUGUUCACCAUAAAAAUCUUCUAUGUGUUUUUAUUUAAAGAAUGACUAAAAACAGAACCCUCUUUAAGACUAUCAUUGCAGUUGAAAAGUAAAGAAUGGUUUAAACAUAAUGAACUAUUAGACCAUAAGCUGCUUUGUAUCUUUAAAGAAAUAUACUGAGGUAACUUUGGACUGGCUAAAACAGCACAAGAUGAUCUAGUACAGCAGUUUGCUACCUGUUACUAAUGAUAUUUUAAUGACCACUAUAGCUCAUUUAAUCUGUCUGGUUCCUUCCAGCCAAGAAUGCACCUCAGUUAUCUUUCAUACGUAUGUGUUCAAUCAAAUCAAACACAUUUCUGACUCUCAAACAUAUUAGUACAUAUAUUAUUGUGUAUUAGUAGCUCAUGCCAAAAUUUUACAAACUCCCUUUCCAACUGUGGCUUUUUAUCGAGGAACUGAAUUCCACCUUUGAGAGUAACUUGUUUGCUUUCUCCUAUCUUGCUUUUAGAGAGUAGAACAUCAUGGAAUUAUAAAUUUAAGAUUUCUAAUCUUAUCUUGACUUUAGCUCCAUGGAAAACCUUUCACUUGUAUUUUGUAAAUUUUCCUUCUGAUUAGUCUCUCCAAUCCAAUCCAAACCUAUUUACUUUCCUUAACCUCAGCCUGACCUCACCCUAAACUCAGCAGAUAACAAUGCCUCUUCUUAUCAGAGAAAGCAGUAACUCCUUCAUCGUCCUCACUCUCUUACUGUAGGCUUACGUGUACACCACUUUCACUCUUAGAGCAAGAAAGAACUUUCUGUUCACUGCAUCAUGCACUGGACGAUCAACCAUUUAAAAUGUCCUCUUUCAUUUAUUUAAUUGAAGAAAUCUCUGACUAUACCUGGAAUUUAAGUUUUCUUGCUCCUAAAACUACUCUGUCUCCUGAAUUGUCCAAGUCAAUGAUGUUGCCUAGGCUUCUAGCUGAAAAUCUUCUGGGCCUUCCUGACUUCUAUGUUGCAUGACUUGCCCCCGUUAUUCCAUCCUCCUCCCAUCCUAGAGGGAUGAUAUAAACUCACCCAUCUAGUAACUAAACACUAUGAGUUCUAUCUAAGAAAUGGUUUUCAAUUUUGUCCAUUUCUUCAUUUCCACUGUCACUGCUUUCUUCUAGAUUGCUUAUAGUUGCUCAAUUGAGCUUCAGCAACUAUUUCCUAACUGGAUAUUCUUCAUUAGUGUCUCUUUUUAGUCCAGGUCACUUUCUUCAUGGCAGUGUAAGUUCAUUUUGAAGAAAGGAAGAAGAGGAGAGAGGGAAAGGGGAGAGAGAGCACACAUGCACGACAGAGAGAGAGAGAAAGAGAAAGAGAAAGAGAAAGAGAGAAAAUUAAUCACAUUCUUCUGCUUAAAAAGUUUUUCUGGUAUCUUGUCUUCAGGAAAACAUGUAAUUUUUUUGGCUUACUCCAGAUUGUCUUUCACAUUCUCUAGUGAAUUUCUCAUUAUGCUGUCAUGAUCCUAUUCCUUGAUAUGUACCCUACUGCUCUUCUCAAGAAAAGUCUUGGUGUUUUUUGGCCAAGCCAGGUGUGUUGACAAAUUUAUGGCCUCUGCUAUGUUCCCUCUGCCACUACGACCUGCACUUUUUCAUCAGACAUAUUCUGCUCAACUUUUCCAUUUCCAGCUGUAUUAGUCCAUUCUCACACUGCUGUAAAGACAUAAUUACAACACUGGGUAAUUUAUAAAGAAAAGAAGUUUAAUUGGCUCACAGUUCCACGUGGUUGGGGAGACCUCAGGAAACUUAUAAUCAUGGUGGAAAUAAAAGGGGAAGCAAAGACCUUUCUCACAUGGUGGUAGGAGAGAGAGAGAGCGUGUGUGAGGGUGCAGGAAAAACUGCCAUUUAUAAAAUCAUCAGAUCUCAUGAGAAUUCACUCACUAUCAUGAAAACAGCACGGGGGAAACCACCCCCAUAAUCCAGUCACUUCCCACCAGGUCUCUCCCUCAACACCCAGGCAUUACAAUUCACGAUGAGAUUUGGGUGGGAACACAAAGCCUAACCACAUCACCAGCUCAAAUGCUGCAUUCUUAGGGAAGCCUUUUCUAACAUCUUCAGGCAGCAUUUUGAAACCCUUUAUGCUCUCAUACCACGUAUUCAUAUCUCUAUUUUACUUAAUUUUGAAUUGCAAUGUAUCUGUUUCAAUAAUCAGCUGUUUUUUAUAGCAUCCUGUUUAUACCUGUGCCUUAAAGUUUGUUAAUACUGUAAUCACUUCUUUAUAUUCUAAAUCUCCACUAGAGUGUGAGCAGUUUUAGGCAGGGUCUGUAUCUGUCUUCUUUAUUUCUUUAUCCCCAGAAACUAUCAUAAAUUUAGUACAUAGCAAAUGUUCAUAUGUAUUUGUGGAAUAAAAGAAUCCAUUCAUUUCUCUCCAUUCUUUUCUACAGAGAGAAGGGGUCUUUUCUCCCUAUUUUUGCUUUUUCUUAGUAUCUAUGCCUGUCACAUAAGAUGCAUUCAUACAUGUUUAUUGAAUGAAUUAUCUGUGGCUGCAUUGCAAAUUUAUUUCUUUGAACUGGUUUUUCAGAAAGAAUAAUACUUAAUUUAAGAGCUAAAGACAUGAAAAAAAUUUUCAUUGAUGUAACUUGGUCAACUACAUUCUUUAUACAUCUCAAUUUUUCUGAGUCUCCUCUUAAGGACAAUCUUUGAAUUUUAGAGCCAUUGAGAUGACUAAAUCAGUAAUUGUGAGAUCAUUACUUUACUCCCCAUUACAUUUUUAAACCUAUUUUAAGUACAAUAAAUUCUACAGGCACUUAAUUUUGGAAGUAAUGCAUGGCAAGAGGUUAAAUAAUCAGUGAAAAGAGAGGACAAUGCUCUGACUCACAAAUACCAUUCCUUUUUAUCAAUUAUUCUGGCUCCUGGAGGUCUUCUCUUUAUAGUUUGACCUAUGAGUUGUGUAAGUUUGGCAGAAUAACAAUGUGCUGAUGCACAUACAACAUCAAGUGAAAUCAUCUCAUGGGAAGAACAUGAUAUUUUGUUGUAUAGCUUAUGGAAUUUUGUAAGAAGUACAUUUUGUUUCUUUGUCAUAGCUUCAAAACAUUUUUUUCUUCUUAUAUAGGUUGAUUCCUCCAAACUAAAAUAAAAAGAUUUUCUUUAUAUCUUGUAUAUUGUCAGGCUAAUUAUUUCUAACAACCAACAUAUAUUUAUUGAAUAUUUACCAUGUACCCAUUACUGCAGAAGACUUAAAAGCAAUGUCAUAUAAAUCCAAGUUUCUGACCUCCUCCAGGGGCUGAUAGUUUUCUUAGAGACACAAUAUCUUGCCAUAAAAUCACCCUUCCUUCCUUCCUUCUUUCCUUUCUUCCUUCCUUCUUUUCUUCCUUCCCUCCUUCCUCCCUUACUUUCUCCCUUCCUUCCUUCUUUCCCUCCUCCUUCUCUUUCUCCUCUUCCUUUUUCCUAAUUAGAGGAUUCUAUUUGUGUUUUAGUAUAUAUUUAUAUUUAGGACAUUGGAGUAUAAUAUUUACUUUAACUCCUUCAAUCUUUAUCUAACACUCAGCUAUUUUUGAGUUCUGCAGAAGGAAAUGAAUCAUCAUCUGGAAAAACUGAUUUCCUUCCCACGGUCCUAGAGACAAAUCGAAAUGACCAGUCCCAAUAAAAAAUUGACUAUUUUUCCAUCUAACAUUAAAUUAUGGUCUAAAAUUGGGAGAUAAGAGUAUGACACAUAAAUAUAAAUAAACAAAAGUGUAUAUUCAUUUUGCAUGGAACUACUCAAAUUUGCAACUCAAUCUUUAGAAAUAAAAAUGGUUUAAGAAAAGUUUAGGUUUUCUCAGAAAGAGUGUCAGUAAUUUUGGCCUUAGGGUGAAUUGACCUAAUCAAAAUUACUUCCUCUAAUUUACCACUAUUAACAGCACUGCCUUCACAAACUGACAUACUACACCAGUUGAGAGGUAUGUGACAGCUUUGUUACUGGUGAUACUGCUACUAAUGCUAGUAAUAAUUAUACUUUAAAAUUAGAGAUAAUUCAUGUUUUAGGCCAAUAUCCCUUUUCAUCUUCUGCAUCCUGAAAUAGUUUCUUGAGAGAAGAGGAAAGAGUUGUAGCUCUCAUGCUUGGAAUGCCCAUGGGAGUGUGAGGCAGACUCAAAUUUCAGCUGGUACAUGUGUCACAGUUGAACAUGUUGCAAGUCGUAAGUGAACAUCCUGAAACUUUGAAAAGAAAGUAUGAGAGUAAUUUUGGAGAAUGGGAUAGUGACUAAAUGAGGCAAACAUGGGAGAAGAGAGCAAAUAGAGAGUAUAAGGGUGGAUGCCUUGAUAAAGAGACCAAAAGCAAAGAAAGGAAUACCAAAAGAAGAGUUAGAAAACCAUUGAAACAAAUAGACUACUUAAUAAUUUUAAUUGAAGCAGGACUUGCCAUUUUUUGGAAGAUGACUUUUGACUACUGCUUCCUUUUCUUUCAUGAUAUUAGUUGUUUUUUACUUGGAUAAGUUUUGAUCACUUUUUUUCAAAAAAUUUUCUAGAUUUCAACAUGCACAUACCAGGUUGUAGGUAGUCAGUAGAAUGGAUAGAGAAAUCUCUGGCAUUUCCAGACAAGAGAUUUGCAGAGCAGCUCAGUAAGGUUCUGGAGCAAGGCUAUGCCUUCUGAGGCAUUGCAAGCAGAGCCUGUUGGACACUUAAAAAGCAACUCUUGGCGCACUGCUGGGCUCUAGCAGAGAGUGCGCUGGCCCAUGGGAUAUCAGGUCAUGAUGCAACUUGUUAUGAUCUGACCCACAGAGUCAUGAGGUUGCGCAGGUGCGGUAGUGAUCCAUUAGACUAUGGAAAUAGUUCUUUUGAGGUCAGGCCUGGCCAAACAAGCGGCCAAGACCUGCAUGUCACCUAUGUCACAGCAAUGAGACCUUCGUCUUUUUCUGAAUUUCAUAACAAUGUUUUCAGAAUUUUAGUGUUAUGAUGGCCUUUUCAUUUUGAUACAUAGCUAAACAUAAGGUCAAGAAUAUUUCCUGCAAGACCUAUUAUAAUAACAUUUAAAAAACAGUAAUGGUUGGCAGAUUAUCAAAUGCCUUUUUGACCUGGGUGAAGAUGACUCAAAUUUUUCCUUUUGACCCAAUAUUAAGGAAAUGAUAUUAAUAGAUUUCUUAAAAUUAAAUCUUUCUAUUAUCCCUGAAAUUAAUUCCCCUUUAUUAUACAAUAUUAUUCCUUUAAUAGGCAGGUGAGUUCUAUUUGCUAAUAUGUUAUUUAAAAGUUUUGGAGUGAUAUGGUGUUUGAACUGUAGUUUUCUUUUUUCAUACUCUUUGUUAUGCAGAUUUUAGAAUUUUUCUUUCUUUCUCUAUCAUCUGAAAUAUUUAAAAUAGUAUCAAACCUCUGUUCCUUAAAGUUUUGAUAGAAUUUGCUAGGGAUGAGUUGAAAUAUUUGCAUUUUGACUAUUAAUAAACUUUCUGAAUGCAUUAAGUAGAUCCUUUCACUGUAACGAAUACUUUUAUUAGAAACACAAUUAGUUUCUUUAGGAAUUUAAACAAAAUUGAACAAAAUCUUUACUUUCAGAAAACAUUAUUAUAAAAGUUUAUAAUAAUGGCAUAAUAACUGAGAUUAAAUAAAAUACAUCCUACUAAAUUGGAAAAAAAUCUUAAAAAUCAGAACUCCAACACUAUGUAUGAUUCCUAGAACAAAACUGUGAGGCAGAUAAGUCUAGAGCUUCAGAAACAUAUGUAGUUUUCAGCACGGUGGUUACAUGGACUUGUCCAAGACUAUAAAGAAAUCACCAUCACUGAAAUUUUCUAAAUAUUAGGAGGCAAUAAUACAUACUUG